AUUGAACGCUGGCGGCAGGCCUAACACAUGCAAGUCGAGCGGAUGAAGGGAGCUUGCUCCUGGAUUCAGCGGCGGACGGGUGAGUAAUGCCUAGGAAUCUGCCUGGUAGUGGGGGAUAACGUCCGGAAACGGGCGCUAAUACCGCAUACGUCCUGAGGGUGAAAGUGGGGGAUCUUCGAACCUCACGCUAUCAGAUGAGCCUAGGUCGGAUUAGCUAGUUGGUGGGGUAAAGGCCUACCAAGGCGACGAUCCGUAACUGGUCUGAGAGGAUGAUCAGUCACACUGGAACUGAGACACGGUCCAGACUCCUACGGGAGGCAGCAGUGGGGAAUAUUGGACAAUGGGCGAAAGCCUGAUCCAGCCAUGCCGCGUGUGUGAAGAAGGUCUUCGGAUUGUAAAGCACUUUAAGUUGGGAGGAAGGGCAGUAAGUUAAUACCUUGCUGUUUUGACGUUACCAACAGAAUAAGCACCGGCUAACUUCGUG
Molecule: ribosomal RNA, 484 nt
Filed under: uncultured bacterium
Lineage: Bacteria
Description: partial 16S ribosomal RNA
Rfam family: Bacterial small subunit ribosomal RNA
Source: RNAcentral